Molecule: ribosomal RNA, 914 nt
Filed under: uncultured bacterium
Lineage: Bacteria
Description: bacterial SSU rRNA
Rfam family: Bacterial small subunit ribosomal RNA
Source: RNAcentral
AGAGUUUGAUCAUGGCUCAGGAUGAACGCUAGCGGCAGGCUUAAUACAUGCAAGUCGAGGGGCAGCAGGUCUGUAGCAAUACAGAUGCUGGCGACCGGCAAACGGGUGCGGAACACGUACAGAACCUUCUUUCGAGCGGGGAAUAGCCCAGAGAAAUUUGGAUUAAUACCCCAUAGUAUAAUGAAGAGGCAUCUCUUUAUUAUUAAAGAUUUAUCACUUGGAGAUGGCUGUGCGGCUGAUUAGGUAGUUGGCGGGGUAACGGCCCACCAAGCCUACGAUCAGUAACUGGUGUGAGAGCACGACCAGUCACACGGGCACUGAGACACGGGCCCGACUCCUACGGGAGGCAGCAGUAAGGAAUAUUGGUCAAUGGACGCAAGUCUGAACCAGCCAUGCCGCGUGGAGGAUGAAGGUCCUCUGGAUUGUAAACUUCUUUUAUAUGGGACGAAAAAAGGGUUUUCUAACUCGACUGACGGUACCAUAUGAAUAAGCACCGGCUAACUCCGUGCCAGCAGCCGCGGUAAUACGGAGGGUGCAAGCGUUAUCCGGAUUCACUGGGUUUAAAGGGUGCGUAGGUGGGUUGGUAAGUCAGUGGUGAAAUCCCCGAGCUUAACUCGGGAACUGCCAUUGAUACUAUCAGUCUUGAAUACCGUGGAGGUCAGCGGAAUAUGUCAUGUAGCGGUGAAAUGCUUAGAUAUGACAUAGAACACCAAUUGCGAAGGCAGCUGGCUACACGAAUAUUGACACUGAGGCACGAAAGCGUGGGGAUCAAACAGGAUUAGAUACCCUGGUAGUCCACGCCCUAAACUAUGGAUACUCGACAUACGCGAUACACUGUGUGUGUCUGAGCGAAAGCAUUAAGUAUCCCACCUGGGAAGUACGAUCGCAAGAUUGAAACUCAAAGGAAUUGACGG